This 408-nucleotide ribosomal RNA is filed under the name Salmonella enterica subsp. enterica serovar Typhimurium. RNAcentral's name for it is "partial 23S ribosomal RNA". It matches the Rfam family "Bacterial large subunit ribosomal RNA", at positions 1163 to 1547 of the family's 2925-position model. The record is from RNAcentral. Lineage: Bacteria; Pseudomonadati; Pseudomonadota; Gammaproteobacteria; Enterobacterales; Enterobacteriaceae.
CAAGACAACUUUACGGAGUUGACGAUUGACGGAGCGAAGCGACGUCAAAGCGUUCAUUAAAGUCGAGUUGGCUUAGGGAUACGUUCGUUGGGUAGGGGAGCGUUCUGUAAGCCUGUGAAGGUGGCCUGUGAGGGUUGCUGGAGGUAUCAGAAGUGCGAAUGCUGACAUAAGUAACGAUAAAGCGGGUGAAAAGCCCGCUCGCCGGAAGACCAAGGGUUCCUGUCCAACGUUAAUCGGGGCAGGGUGAGUCGACCCCUAAGGCGAGGCCGAAAGGCGUAGUCGAUGGGAAACGGGUUAAUAUUCCCGUACUUGGUGUUACUGCGAAGGGGGGACGGAGAAGGCUAUGUUGGCCGGGCGACGGUUGUCCCGGUUUAAGCGUGUAGGUGUGUGUUCCAGGUAAAUCCGGUU